RNAcentral lists this ribosomal RNA (207 nucleotides) under uncultured bacterium. RNAcentral describes it as "partial 16S ribosomal RNA". It matches the Rfam family "Bacterial small subunit ribosomal RNA", at positions 568 to 774 of the family's 1533-position model. The record is from RNAcentral.
CUCGUAGGCGGCCAACUAAGUCAGACGUGAAAUCCCUCAGCUUAACUGGGGAACUGCGUCUGAUACUGGAUGGCUUGGAUUUGGGAGAGGGAUGCGGAAUUCCAGGUGUAGCGGUGAAAUGCGUAGAUAUCUGGAGGAACACCGGUGACGAAGGCGGCAUCCUGGACCAACAUUGACGCUGAGGAGCGAAAGCCAGGGGAGCAAACG